This 263-nucleotide ribosomal RNA is filed under the name uncultured bacterium. RNAcentral describes it as "partial 16S ribosomal RNA". It matches the Rfam family "Bacterial small subunit ribosomal RNA", at positions 793 to 1055 of the family's 1533-position model. The record is from RNAcentral.
GUCCACGCCGUAAACGAUGGGUGCUAGGUGUGGGCGGUGUCGACUCCGUCCGUGCCGAAGCUAACGCAUUAAGCACCCCGCCUGGGGGAGUACGGCCGCAAGGCUAAAACUCAAAGGAAUUGACGGGGCCCGCACAAGCAGCGGAGCAUGUGGUUUAAUUCGACGCGACGCGAAGAACCUUACCAAGGCUUGACAUGCAUUGGAAUGUCGUAGAAAUACGGCAGCCCUUCGGGGCCGAUGCACAGGUGGUGCAUGGCUGUCGU